Molecule: ribosomal RNA, 377 nt
Filed under: uncultured bacterium
Lineage: Bacteria
Description: bacterial SSU rRNA
Rfam family: Bacterial small subunit ribosomal RNA
Source: RNAcentral
UAAUACAGAGGGUGCAAGCGUUGUUCGGAAUUACUGGGCGUAAAGCGCGUGUAGGCUGCGAUGUAAGUCGGACGUGAAAGCCCUUGGCUUAACCAAGGAAGUGCAUCCGAUACUGUGUCGCUUGAGUACCGGAGGGGAUGGCGGAAUUCCCGGUGUAGAGGUGAAAUUCGUAGAUAUCGGGAGGAACACCUGUGGCGAAGGCGGCCAUCUGGACGGUAACUGACGCUGAGACGCGAAAGCGUGGGUAGCAAACAGGAUUAGAUACCCUGGUAGUCCACGCUGUAAACGAUGAGUGCUAGUCGUCAUGGGUAUUGACCCCUGUGGUGACGAAGUUAACACGUUAAGCACUCCGCCUGGGGAGUACGGUCGCAAGAUUA